Onychostoma macrolepis is the source of this 980-nucleotide long non-coding RNA. RefSeq lists it as uncharacterized. The record is from RefSeq and is a predicted model, not a curated record. The transcript is spliced from 4 exons. NCBI's taxonomy places the organism in Eukaryota, Metazoa, Chordata, Actinopteri, Cypriniformes, Cyprinidae.
CCACAUAGCAAGCACACUCGGGCCGAUUCUGGCUGAAAUGCGGCACUGUCGGCUCAGUCACGACGUCGGUGAGAAGAUAAUGGGCCAGAGCCGCGCCGACUCUACAAAACACUUCUGGCUGACAGACGCUUUUUCUCUCUGGGCCGAUCUCGGCUGAAAGCUGUUGUACGUGCGGCAGGUCCACACUCGGUGUAGUUGUGUGUCUCUACCUUCGGCCCGAGCUGGUUUUGUCUCCGGCGGCCGCUGCUAGAAUGAAGAUCCGCCUGAGAGAGAGAUUUGGCGGUUAAUCCUGAGGAGAUUUCGGCGGGCACAGGUCUCAAGAGGAAUACUUCAGCUGCAAAAAGAAAUUCUGAGCUGCUGCAUGAACAUUCAUCAAACAUAUAAGGCUGCAAUUUGGAAAAAAACUUUCAAGCUAAUGCUGCUGAAAUGGAGGUCAAGGGGACUAUGAAGAGGUGGCUUCCAGCUGAUCAAAAGUUACAAUAAUCAGCUGAUCCAGUCGGUAUCCAGACCAGACGGUGGACCUGCACCAGGAGUGACCACAACACAUCCCUGACUGUCAGCGGAGACCAUGUCAGCUAGAUGACAGAUCCCUGUGAAGACCUCACUGAUGGCCUCAGCACAGAUCCUCAGCAAAGACUACGAGAACCAGACAAGCCCUCUGCACAGACCCUUUUACCAGCUUCACCUGCUGGCGUGAUGUUUCCUCAUGCAGAAGAAGUUGGAUGAAAUAUUCUGAAUGAUAUCAAUCCACAAUCUGACUUGUGAUGCAGCCUGGAAUAAUCACACCACGUUCAUUCGUUUGGCCAGACGAGACUGUUUCCUGACUGAGCCGGGUCUUGUUUGGGUUUGGGUUCCUUGUCACUGUUGCCUUUUGUCUUGCUUGGUUGAAGACACCUAAUAUUCAGCAAUAUUAUUGACUUGACUGCACUGACACCAUUUGAUAAGAACUGAACUGAAUUAUGACACACAAUGUUUUAUAU